RNAcentral lists this long non-coding RNA (1376 nucleotides) under Cyanistes caeruleus (blue tit). Its description in RNAcentral is "lncRNA (ENSCCEG00000002798.1)". Lineage: Eukaryota; Metazoa; Chordata; Aves; Passeriformes; Paridae. The record is from RNAcentral.
AAGGAAAAGGAAGCAGAGACUCUUAACCCUUUUCUCAUACAACUACGACGGGGAGUGUCCUUGCUAUCGCACUUAGGUCGCUGUCUUGGAUGGAAAGGAUGGGUACAGAUCCUAAAACAGCAUUGCCACACUUCAAUCAAAUUCAAAGUGCUCUCUUUGUUGCUGUGCCACUGAAAGAAGCUGACAGUCCCUACAUGCCACAGAUAUGAGGUAAAGGAACUCCUGCGUGAUCUUCCAGUCCCUUUUGAUCUUGUAGGAAGAAUGUGGCAUGUUUAAACUGUACUGCUGCUCUGGUGGCCCUUGGCUUUCAGGGUCUGCUUCAGCAGCUUGGAGUGGUUCAGUGCUGCCCACCUCAGCCUAAACCAAAGAUGUGUGCCUACGUAUGGGCAAUACUAACUUUAAGAAAUUUCUUGCUGUGGUAAAAUACUGAGACUGAGUAUAGCACUCUUUGAAUGCAGUCUGUGCAUUUUUCUAUUGUCAAAGAAAAUUGUACAAAAAUUGGCACAUUUCACAAUAUUUUCAUAAGUUACCAGCUCCUGUGAAAACUUUUGAAUCAGUGCUAACAACUGAGUUUUAGAAGACACGAUGAAAUCCUACUAGGAUCCUGGGGGGGGCGUGUUACAAGAAAGCAUUUCUUAGUUAAAAGUAUAAAGUGUGUAGUAAAAUUAGCUUGUCCUGCAGCAAUCAUUUCUUAGUUAAAAGUAUAAAGUGUGUAGUAAAAUUAGCUUGUCCUGCAGCAAUCUCCACUACAAUUAGGUGUCAUUAAUAAUACACUGUUGAAAAAGUUUGCAUAAGAAAUCCAGAGCAUUAAUAUUUUAUUGUCACUAAUAGGCUUUGAUUUCAGUUCACGUUUUCUGACUCAAGCAAGGGAAAAGCAGUUUUUAACAGUGUUUUUUCCAUAUGAGUAGAGAAGUAUUAAUCAUUUUCUCAGGAAAACCCCCAGGGGAACUAGCACACGGGUAAGGCUUACAUUCAGGCUUGUUUCUCAUUCAGGUUUGUUCUGAUUAGCCUUAUGUGGGCCUUUUCCUUGAAAUUCAGCAUGUGAAAUCUUGUCCUGACAAAGCCCGAGACACAAAUUCCUUGGUUGUAUUUGGAAUGAAAUUCUGACCCUAUUAAUAAUCAAAGGUUUGACAAAUGCCAAAGUGCUGACUGAGCUCUGAACACAAAAGCUCAUUCCUUAUAACCAAUUUCUAACAGCUAAUCACUGGAGUCCUUUGCAGUAGCUGGAAAUGCAGCCCCAGAAAAUGUUCACCUGUGUAACUUUAUCAAAAGUAGUCACGUGGACUUUGGUGAUGACUCACAGUGGCUGCUAGAGUUUAAUACAGAAGAGGAAUCUGUCAAAUAAAAAUCAGAGCAGAAGGUAAUAUUUUUGUGUU